RNAcentral lists this transfer-messenger RNA (342 nucleotides) under Candidatus Ventrisoma faecale. It matches the Rfam family "transfer-messenger RNA". From Rfam's summary of the family: Bacterial tmRNA, also known as 10Sa RNA or SsrA, is named for its dual tRNA and mRNA-like properties. Its role is to liberate the mRNA from a stalled ribosome. To accomplish this part of the tmRNA is used as a reading frame that ends in a translation stop signal. RNAcentral also lists the same sequence under 1 other name. The record is from RNAcentral. Lineage: Bacteria; Bacillati; Bacillota; Clostridia.
GGGGUAGUACUGGUUUCGACAGGGGCCAUGCAGCUGGUGAAGCUAUCCGCAUGCAAUGCGUUAAAUGGCAAACCUAAAUAUAAACGCUAACAAUAGAGAAUUAGCAUACGCUGCCUAAUGGCGGCUGUCAGACUUAGAGCACUCACACUUUAAGACCCUGGCAUCGACGAUGUGAGAAACGACGCACGUUAAGCUUUGCGCGUGCGGGCGUAUUAUGAAGCUACUGAAGCAUCAAGGGUGUUCGUUCCCGUGAUGCGGAGGGAAUGUCAAAGAACGGACUAUGAUAGUAGAAGAACAGGGAAUUGGUUUUUGGACACGGGUUCAAAUCCCGUCUACUCCACU